Molecule: unclassified non-coding RNA, 285 nt
Filed under: plant metagenome
Description: partial contains small subunit ribosomal RNA, internal transcribed spacer 1, and 5.8S ribosomal RNA
Rfam family: Eukaryotic small subunit ribosomal RNA (bases 1-54)
Source: RNAcentral
GGAAGUAAAAGUCAUAACAAGGUUUCCGUAGGUGAACCUGCGGAAGGAUCAUUAUUGUAUAACCGAGGUGCGAGGGCUGUCGCUGACCCGAAAGGUCGUGCACGCCCGAGUGCCCUCACACACAUCCAUCUCACCCCUAUGUGCACCACCGCGUGGGUCCCCCUUUGGCUUGUUCGGAGGGGGGCUUACGUUUUCACACAAACUUUGUAUGCAGUGUAAAAUGUAUUUUUUGUUUUUGCGAUCACGCAAUCAAUACAACUUUCAACAACGGAUCUCUUGGCUCUC